GGUAGGGUACCGAAGCGGCCAAACGGGGCAGACUGUAAAUCUGCUGGAAUUUCCUUCAGUGGUUCGAAUCCACUCCCUACCA
Molecule: transfer RNA, 82 nt
Filed under: Prosthecochloris sp. GSB1
Lineage: Bacteria; Pseudomonadati; Chlorobiota; Chlorobiia; Chlorobiales; Chlorobiaceae
Description: Chlorobium bathyomarinum tRNA
Rfam family: tRNA
About the family: Transfer RNA (tRNA) molecules are approximately 80 nucleotides in length.
Source: Rfam by way of RNAcentral